RNAcentral lists this ribosomal RNA (261 nucleotides) under uncultured bacterium. Its description in RNAcentral is "partial 16S ribosomal RNA". It matches the Rfam family "Bacterial small subunit ribosomal RNA", at positions 101 to 353 of the family's 1533-position model. The record is from RNAcentral.
AACGGGUGAGUAAUACAUAAGUAACCUGCCCUAGACAGGGGGAUAACUAUUGGAAACGAUAGCUAAGACCGCAUAGGUACGGACACUGCAUGGUGACCGUAUUAAAAGUGCCUCAAAGCACUGGUAGAGGAUGGACUUAUGGCGCAUUAGCUGGUUGGCGGGGUAACGGCCCACCAAGGCGACGAUGCGUAGCCGACCUGAGAGGGUGACCGGCCACACUGGGACUGAGACACGGUCCAAACUCCUACGGGAGGCAGCAUG